Molecule: ribosomal RNA, 337 nt
Filed under: uncultured bacterium
Lineage: Bacteria
Description: bacterial SSU rRNA
Rfam family: Bacterial small subunit ribosomal RNA
Source: RNAcentral
AGAGUUUGAUCCUGGCUCAGGAUGAACGCUAGCGGCAGGCUUAACACAUGCAAGUCGAGGGGCAGCACGGGUAGCAAUACUUGGUGGCGACCGGCGCAAGGGUGCGUAACGCGUGAGCAACAUGCCCGUAUCAGGGGGAUAAUCCAGGGAAACUUGGUCUAAUACCCCAUAGUAAUUUCGUAAGGCAUCUUAUGGGAUUUAAAGCUUUGGUGGAUACGGAUUGGCUCGCGUGACAUUAGCUGGAUGGUAAGGUAACGGCUUACCAUGGCUAUGAUGUCUAGGGGUUCUGAGAGGAAGGUCCCCCACACUGGAACUGAGACACGGUCCAGACUCCUAC